This 173-nucleotide unclassified non-coding RNA is filed under the name uncultured Agonimia. RNAcentral's name for it is "sequence contains ITS1". Lineage: Eukaryota; Fungi; Ascomycota; Eurotiomycetes; Verrucariales. The record is from RNAcentral.
UCGAGUGAGGGUCCUCUGGGCCCCAUCUCCAACCCGUGUCUAUCAUACCCUGUUGCUUCGGCGGGCCCGUCCUUAACUGGACCGCCGGGGAUCAUCGCCCCUGGCCAGCGCCCGUCAGUAGCCCCCCUCAACUCUUAUUAAUGUGUUGUCUGAGUCCAUGAUAAUAAGCACAA